Molecule: ribosomal RNA, 465 nt
Filed under: Vreelandella stevensii
Lineage: Bacteria; Pseudomonadati; Pseudomonadota; Gammaproteobacteria; Oceanospirillales; Halomonadaceae
Description: partial 16S ribosomal RNA
Rfam family: Bacterial small subunit ribosomal RNA
Source: RNAcentral
CCUACGGGGGGCAGCAGUGGGGAAUAUUGGACAAUGGGGGGAACCCUGAUCCAGCCAUGCCGCGUGUGUGAAGAUGGCCCUCGGGUUGUAAAGCACUUUCAGUGAGGAAGAACGCCUGGUGGUUAAUACCCAUCAGGAAAGACAUCACUCACAGAAGAAGCACCGGCUAACUCCGUGCCAGCAGCCGCGGUAAUACGGAGGGUGCGAGCGUUAAUCGGAAUUACUGGGCGUAAAGCGCGCGUAGGUGGCUUGAUAAGCCGGUUGUGAAAGCCCCGGGCUCAACCUGGGAACGGCAUCCGGAACUGUCAAGCUAGAGUGCAGGAGAGGAAGGUAGAAUUCCCGGUGUAGCGGUGAAAUGCGUAGAGAUCGGGAGGAAUACCAGUGGCGAAGGCGGCCUUCUGGACUGACACUGACACUGAGGUGCGAAAGCGUGGGUAGCAAACAGGAUUAGAUACCCGUGUAGUC